RNAcentral lists this ribosomal RNA (962 nucleotides) under Staphylococcus epidermidis. RNAcentral's name for it is "bacterial SSU rRNA". It matches the Rfam family "Bacterial small subunit ribosomal RNA", at positions 56 to 997 of the family's 1533-position model. The record is from RNAcentral. Lineage: Bacteria; Bacillati; Bacillota; Bacilli; Caryophanales; Staphylococcaceae.
UGCAGUCGAGCGAACAGACGAGGAGCUUGCUCCUCUGACGUUAGCGGCGGACGGGUGAGUAACACGUGGAUAACCUACCUAUAAGACUGGGAUAACUUCGGGAAACCGGAGCUAAUACCGGAUAAUAUAUUGAACCGCAUGGUUCAAUAGUGAAAGACGGUUUUGCUGUCACUUAUAGAUGGAUCCGCGCCGCAUUAGCUAGUUGGUAAGGUAACGGCUUACCAAGGCAACGAUGCGUAGCCGACCUGAGAGGGUGAUCGGCCACACUGGAACUGAGACACGGUCCAGACUCCUACGGGAGGCAGCAGUAGGGAAUCUUCCGCAAUGGGCGAAAGCCUGACGGAGCAACGCCGCGUGAGUGAUGAAGGUCUUCGGAUCGUAAAACUCUGUUAUUAGGGAAGAACAAAUGUGUAAGUAACUAUGCACGUCUUGACGGUACCUAAUCAGAAAGCCACGGCUAACUACGUGCCAGCAGCCGCGGUAAUACGUAGGUGGCAAGCGUUAUCCGGAAUUAUUGGGCGUAAAGCGCGCGUAGGCGGUUUUUUAAGUCUGAUGUGAAAGCCCACGGCUCAACCGUGGAGGGUCAUUGGAAACUGGAAAACUUGAGUGCAGAAGAGGAAAGUGGAAUUCCAUGUGUAGCGGUGAAAUGCGCAGAGAUAUGGAGGAACACCAGUGGCGAAGGCGACUUUCUGGUCUGUAACUGACGCUGAUGUGCGAAAGCGUGGGGAUCAAACAGGAUUAGAUACCCUGGUAGUCCACGCCGUAAACGAUGAGUGCUAAGUGUUAGGGGGGUUUCCGCCCCUUAGUGCUGCAGCUAACGCAUUAAGCACUCCGCCUGGGGGAGUACGACCGCAAGGUUGAAACUCAAAGGAAUUGACGGGGACCCGCACAAGCGGUGGAGCAUGUGGGUUUAAUUCGAAGCAACGCGAAGAACCUUACCAAAUCUUGACAUCCUCUGACCC